This 832-nucleotide ribosomal RNA is filed under the name uncultured Bacillota bacterium. Its description in RNAcentral is "bacterial SSU rRNA". It matches the Rfam family "Bacterial small subunit ribosomal RNA", at positions 58 to 922 of the family's 1533-position model. The record is from RNAcentral. Lineage: Bacteria; Bacillati; Bacillota.
CAAGUCGAACGAGAAAGGGGAGCAAUCCCUGAGUACAGUGGCGUACGGGUGAGUAACACGUGGAUGACCUAUCUCUUAGUGGGGAAUAACUCUGGGAAACCGGAGAUAAUACCGCAUAAGCUCGAGAGAGGAAAGCAGCAAUGCGCUGAGAGAGGAGUCCGCGGCCGAUUAGCUAGUUGGCAGGGUAAAAGCCUACCAAGGCAUAGAUCGGUAGCCGGCCUGAGAGGGCACACGGCCACACUGGCACUGAGACACGGGCCAGACUCCUACGGGAGGCAGCAGUGGGGAAUCUUGCACAAUGGGGGCACCCCUGAUGCAGCGACGCCGCGUGAGCGAUGAAGCCCUUCGGGGUGUAAAGCUCUUUCGGCAGGAAAGAUUAUGACGGUACCUGCAGAAGCAGCUGCGGCUAACUACGUGCCAGCAGCCGCGGUAAUACGUAGGCAGCGAGCGUUGUUCGGAGUUACUGGGCGUAAAGGGUGUGUAGGCGGUUGUUUAAGUUUGGUGUGAAAUCUCCCGGCUCAACUGGGAGGGUGCGCCGAAUACUGAAUGACUUCCAGUGCGGGAGAGGUGAGUGGAAUUCCUGGUGUAGCGGUGAAAUGCGUAGAUUUCAGGAGGAACACCGGUGGUGUAGACGGCUCACUGGACCGUAACUGACGCUGAGACACGAAAGCGUGGGUAGCAAACAGGAUUAGAUACCCUGGUAGUCCACGCCCUAAACGAUGCAUAUUUUGGUGUGGGCAGUUCAUUCUGUCCGUGCCGGAGCUAACGCGUUAAUAUGCCGCCCGGGGAGUACAGUCGCAAGGCUGAAACUCAAAGGAAUUGACGGGGGCCC